UAAAGAUUCCUUCCGCUGAGUUAAGG
RNAcentral lists this non-coding RNA (26 nucleotides) under Mus musculus (house mouse). The record is from RNAcentral. Lineage: Eukaryota; Metazoa; Chordata; Mammalia; Rodentia; Muridae.